UUUUUUAGCCUUUUAUUCAGCUGUGCCACAGGCAUUACUGUAAGGACAGACCUGCAGACUUGCGUUUUCAGGAAGCCAGCUCCCUAUACCCAUGGCCUGGAAAAUAACCAGCACGGUUAGGUGCCCUACCACAUCCUGCCCAGUGGGUUACAUGUAGGACCCCCUGAGCAGCUGCCAGGGGGUGUUUUUCUGCCUUCCAGCUGGACAUAGUUUCCACAAGCCCAGGAUCACAAGCAGGCAGUGAUCCUGGCCAUGAAUUCAUCCAUGUUGGCAGCAAUGGGCAGUUAAUGAGUGUUGUUAAAAUUGUAUGCAUUUCUGAACAUUUAUUUAUCUUUGCAUCUUUAAAAAUCAAAGUUAGAAUUUCUACAAUGUGUAAUUUACCAUAUGUGUCAUCUGUUUUGACUUUAAUACUGUAUCUUAAAAUGUGCUCAAGAAUUGUCAAUGUCAGCUACCCUAUGAUCCAGGAAUCACACUACUGGGUUUCCCCCACAAAUACAAAAAUACUAAUUCAAAGGGAUACAUGCACCCCUAUGUUUAUAGCAGCAUUAUUUACAAUAGCCAAGAUAUGGAAGCAGCCCAAGUGUCCAUCCAUAAAUGAAUAGAUACAGAAGAGGUAAUAUAUAUGUAGACAUGAUGGAAUAUUACUCAGCCAUAAAAAAGAAUGAAAUCUUGCCAUGCAACAACAUGGAUGGAGCUUGAGAGUAUCACGCUAAGUGAAUAAAGUAGUCAGAAAAAGACAAAUACGAUAUGAUUUCACUCAUAUGAGGAAAAAAAAGAGAGAAAGAAACCAAGAAACAGAUUUCAGUGUGGAGAACACACUGAUGCUCACCACAGGGGAGAGGGCCAAGGGAGGAGGGAAUAGGUUUUAAGGAUUGAGGAGGGCACUUUUCCUAAGAGCAUCGGGUGAUGUAUAGACUAUACAUAUGGAAGUGUUGAAUCACUGUACUGUACAUCUGAAACUAUUACACUGUAGGUUAACUAACUGGAAUUAAAAUUAAAGACUUAAUAAUAAUAAAAAAGAAUUGUCUGUGUCUUUAAACAUUUAUCAACUUCACCCAAAGACGAGAAAUUUUAAGAAGAUGGCUGUAUGUAUGAAAGCUCUUUAAAAAAAUUCAAAUGCUAAUGAAUAAGGAGAGAUAUAAUGAAUAAGGAGAGAUCAAAGAUAUAAAUGGAAAUGCUAUUGAAAGUCUCAGAGUCAAAAAUAGAGACCAGGGAUGGAAGCAAGAAGAGUAGAUGGCCAAACUAAUCACAGGAUCACAGACACUCAACGAGCAUGGCCACCAGAAGGAGCCCCCACAGCACAUGAGCGUCAC
RNAcentral lists this long non-coding RNA (1313 nucleotides) under Canis lupus familiaris (dog). RNAcentral describes it as "lncRNA (ENSCAFG00845016491.1)". Lineage: Eukaryota; Metazoa; Chordata; Mammalia; Carnivora; Canidae. The record is from RNAcentral.